RNAcentral lists this ribosomal RNA (407 nucleotides) under uncultured bacterium. RNAcentral describes it as "bacterial SSU rRNA". It matches the Rfam family "Bacterial small subunit ribosomal RNA", at positions 355 to 776 of the family's 1533-position model. RNAcentral also lists the same sequence under 1 other name. The record is from RNAcentral.
UGGGGAAUAUUGGGCAAUGGGGGAAACCCUGACCCAGCAACGCCGCGUGAAGGAAGAAGGUUUUCGGAUUGUAAACUUCUGUCCUAAGGGAAGAAAGAAAUGACGGUACCUUAGGAGGAAGCCCCGGCUAACUACGUGCCAGCAGCCGCGGUAAUACGUAGGGGGCAAGCGUUGUCCGGAAUUAUUGGGCGUAAAGGGUGCGUAGGCGGCCGAUCAAGUCAGGUGUGAAAGACCCGUGCUUAACAUGGGGGUUGCACUUGAAACUGGUUGGCUUGAGUAUGGGAGAGGCAAGCGGAAUUCCCGGUGUAGCGGUGAAAUGCGUAGAGAUCGGGAGGAACACCAGUGGCGAAGGCGGCUUGCUGGACCAAAACUGACGCUGAGGCACGAAAGCGUGGGUAGCAAACAGG